UCCAAAUAGUAAAUUAGUGAAUGUAUUUCAUGGCAGUUUGAUUAUUCUGGGACAAACAGUGCAGUCUUCCUCAAAGCAUCACUGUGAAUGUAAUCAUAUAAUGUUAAAAAUAUAAUAAGUCUUUUUAUUAUUGGUCAAUGAAAUAAAUAAAUCCUCUUUAUUAUCAGAAUGAAAACAGACUUCCACAAACGAACGUCAACUGAUGACUCCAUAAUUAUUCAGCCCUUCAAAGGUGACUGACCUACUUCAACAGCCAAAAUCACAUAUUUCUGGAAGGUCCACUCACUGGUUAUUCAGCAUGCCAGGCUGCAGUUACACCAUGCAGACAAAAGAGCACUCGGAGCAAGUUAAAGGAAAGUUUAUUCAAAAGUAGCAGUCUGGGAAUGGAGACAGAGGAGUUCACUUAAAUCUGUCAUCAUGAAACGGAAGCAAUCAAAUCUGCCUAAAUCUGACACUCAAAGGUAAACUGGAUACCUGGCUGACCAUCACGUUCACGACCAGAUGCUGCCAACACCUCCCUUUCCUUGUGAAGGUGCAUGAGAAACCCUGGAUUAACUUUGCUAACCAGCGGUUAUCCUGAUCACGACUGUUAGUGGGUGAUUCUCAAGUCUGUUGGAGCCCAGGCAAAAAGGGACAAGGACACCUGACAGCCCAGUGUGCCCAGCAGAGCUGACAUGAGGGCUGUUUCAACUGAAUCACACACUCUGCUUGCCAGAGGUGAUCCAGGUGUUUUGUUUGUUUUUCUUUUUGUUCCUUCCCCCCUUUCUCAUCAUCUCUUCUCCCCUCUGUUUUUCUUUCUCUCCCUCUUUCUUUCAUUCUUUCCUUCUCCCUGUCCUUUCCCCCAGUCAUGUCUGUCCCGUCUGUAACAACUGAUAAUAAAAUAAAAUAAAUAAACAAUUAUAAUAAAGGUCAAUCAAAUGGACCAACAUGGCAUCUUUCUCGGCCUUCAAACAACAAUUCUGAUGGCUAAAGAUCCAAAUGGGACAGGCAAAAAAUAUAAAUGAUGAUAACCAUGUGCAGCUUCUCUCGUCUUCCAUUUUUCCCUGAUAUGUUUCACUCUAAAUCAGACACGUGUUAAAGUGUGUUGGCUGCAUGUUAAGGUCAAAAUGCUGAUGAGCUCUGAUCCAGUUGACUGAUAUACUCUGCUCUACAUCCUGCACUGAAAUAUGAGGAUUG
Molecule: long non-coding RNA, 1176 nt
Organism: Astatotilapia calliptera (eastern happy)
Lineage: Eukaryota; Metazoa; Chordata; Actinopteri; Cichliformes; Cichlidae
Source: Ensembl